GACCAAGAAGUCUAACAUGUGUGCGAGUCAUUGGGUAUAUUGUUGAAACCUAAGGGCGCAAUUAAAAUAACUAUUUUAUGGGAUUACAAGUGAAUGAAAUUUCAUUUCUUCAUCCCGGGGCGUUCUAUACGAACAUGGUGCAAGCAAUUGAACCCUCUGUUCAAGAGCGUACCUUGAGCAUACAUGCUGUGACCCGAAAGAUGGUGAACUAUACCUGAUCAGAUCGAAGCCAGGAGAAAUUCUGGUGGAGGAUCGAAACAGUUCUGACGUGCAAAUCGAUUGUCAGAAUUGGGUAUAGGGGCGAAAGACCAAUCGAACCAUCUAGUAGCUGGUUCCCUCCGAAGUUUCCCUCAGGAUAGCUGGCGCAACGAAUUAUAUUAUAUAUAAUCUUAUCUGGUAAAGCGAAUGAUUAGAGGCCUUGGGGCCGAAACGACCUCAACCUAUUCUCAAACUUUAAAUGGGUAAGAACCUCAUCUUUCUUGAUCUGAAGAUAUUGGGGUUUAGAUAUAUUGUGCCCAGUGGGCCACUUUUGGUAAGCAGAACUGGCGCUGUGGGAUGAACCAAACAUGAUGUUACGGCGCCUAAAUUAAUGACUCAUAUUGAUACCAUGAAAGGCGUUGGUUGCUUAAAACAGCAGGACGGUGGACAUGGAAGUCGUAAUCCGCUAAGGAGUGUGUAACAACUCACCUGCCGAAGCAACUAGCCCUUAAAAUGGAUGGCGCUCAAGUCAUAUGCCUAUACAUCAUCGCUAGAAUAAAAAUUGUUGACCAUUCGGCCAUCAAUGUGAAAUUCUAGUGAGUAGGAGGGUACAAUGGUGUGCGCAGAAGUGUUUGGCGUGAGCCUGCAUGAAGCCGCCAUUGGCACAGAUCUUGGUGGUAGUAGCAAAUAAUCGAAUGAGAUCUUGGAGGACUGAAGUGGAGAAGGGUUUCGUGUGAACAGUGGUUGAUCACGAGUUAGUCGGUCCUAAGCUUUAUGCGAAAGCUGUUUAAUUUAUGUUACACACAAAAUUUUUGUUGUACAUAAUUCAAUAAAAGCGAAAGGGAAUACGGUUCCAAUUCCGUAACCUGUUGAGUAUACGUUUGUUUAUUAAAAAUGGGUCUUAUUACACUCAUCCUGGCAACAGGAACGACCAUAGAGAAGCCUUCGAGAGAUACUGGAAGAGUUUUCUUUUCUGCUAAACAAACGUAUCACCAUGGAAGUCUUUUAUAGAGAGAUAUGGUGGAUGGCUUGGAAGAGCAUGACAUUUACUGUUGUGUCAGUAUUUUCUCCUUGGACCUUGAAAAUCUAUGGUGGGGCCACGCAAACUUCUCAACAGACCGUACCGAUAUCCGCAG
This 1334-nucleotide ribosomal RNA is filed under the name Zygoneura sciarina. RNAcentral describes it as "eukaryotic LSU rRNA". It matches the Rfam family "Eukaryotic large subunit ribosomal RNA", at positions 664 to 1859 of the family's 3401-position model. The record is from RNAcentral. Lineage: Eukaryota; Metazoa; Arthropoda; Insecta; Diptera; Sciaridae.